This 73-nucleotide transfer RNA is filed under the name Planctomycetaceae bacterium. RNAcentral describes it as "tRNA-Glu". It matches the Rfam family "tRNA". From Rfam's summary of the family: Transfer RNA (tRNA) molecules are approximately 80 nucleotides in length. Their secondary structure includes four short double-helical elements and three loops (D, anti-codon, and T loops). Further hydrogen bonds mediate the characteristic L-shaped molecular structure. tRNAs have two regions of fundamental functional importance: the anti-codon, which is responsible for specific mRNA codon recognition, and the 3' end, to which the tRNAs corresponding amino acid is attached (by aminoacyl-tRNA synthetases). tRNAs cope with the degeneracy of the genetic code in two manners: having more than one tRNA (with a specific anti-codon) for a particular amino acid; and 'wobble' base-pairing, i.e. permitting non-standard base-pairing at the 3rd anti-codon position. Lineage: Bacteria; Pseudomonadati; Planctomycetota; Planctomycetia; Planctomycetales; Planctomycetaceae. The record is from RNAcentral.
GCCCCCAUCGUCUAGAGGCCCAGGACAUUGGAUUCUCAGUCCAAAGACAGGGGUUCAAAUCCCCUUGGGGGUA